CGGGGGCAUGGGUGGACUCCCCGUUGAGGCUUCGGCCCAAGUUCCGC
This 47-nucleotide non-coding RNA is filed under the name Mesorhizobium alhagi CCNWXJ12-2. Lineage: Bacteria; Pseudomonadati; Pseudomonadota; Alphaproteobacteria; Hyphomicrobiales; Phyllobacteriaceae. The record is from RNAcentral.